This 253-nucleotide ribosomal RNA is filed under the name uncultured bacterium. Its description in RNAcentral is "partial 16S ribosomal RNA". It matches the Rfam family "Bacterial small subunit ribosomal RNA", at positions 524 to 776 of the family's 1533-position model. The record is from RNAcentral.
UACGGAGGGUGCAAGCGUUAAUCGGAAUUACUGGGCGUAAAGCGCGCGUAGGCGGUUUUUUAAGUCGGAUGUGAAAGCCCCGGGCUCAACCUGGGAACUGCAUCCGAUACUGGAAGACUAGAAUGCGGGAGAGGGAGGUAGAAUUCCAUGUGUAGCAGUGAAAUGCGUAGAUAUAUGGAGGAAUACCAGUGGCGAAGGCGGCCUCCUGGCUCGACAUUGACGCUGAGAUGCGAAAGCGUGGGGAGCAAACGGG